This 492-nucleotide ribosomal RNA is filed under the name uncultured bacterium. RNAcentral's name for it is "partial 16S ribosomal RNA". It matches the Rfam family "Bacterial small subunit ribosomal RNA", at positions 29 to 507 of the family's 1533-position model. The record is from RNAcentral.
AGUGAACGCUGGCGGUAGGCCUAACACAUGCAAGUCGAACGGCAGCACAGUAAGAGCUUGCUCUUACGGUUGGCGAGUGGCGGACGGGUCAGGAAUACAUCGGAAUCUACUUUUUCGUGGGGGAUAACGUAGGGAAACUUACGCUAAUACCGCAUACGACCUACGGGUGAAAGCAGGGGAUCUUCGGACCUUGCGCGAUUGAAUGAGCCGAUGUCGGAUUAGCUAGUUGGCGGGGUAAAGGCCCACCCAGGCGACGAUCCGUAGCCGGUCUGAGAGGAUGGUCAGGCACACUGGAACGGAGACGCGGUCCAGACUACUACGGGAGGCAGCGGUGGGGAAGAUUGGACAAUGGGCGCAAGCCUGAUCCAGCCAUACCGCGUGGGUGAAGAAGGCCUUCGGGUUGUAAAGCCCUUUUGUUGGGAAAGAAAAGCAGCAGGUUAAUACCCCGCUGUUCUGACGGUACCCAAAGAAUAAGCACCGGCUAACUACGUG